UGGGCUACACACGUGCUACAAUGGACAGAACAAAGGGCUGCAAGACCGCAAGGUUUAGCCAAUCCCAUAAAUCUGUUCUCAGUUCGGAUCGCAGUCUGCAACUCGACUGCGUGAAGCUGGAAUCGCUAGUAAUCGCGGAUCAGCAUGCCGCGGUGAAUACGUUCCCGGGCCUUGUACACACCGCCCGUCACACCACGAGAGUUUGCAACACCCGAAGUCGGUGAGGUAACCUUUAUGGAGCCAGCCGCC
RNAcentral lists this ribosomal RNA (249 nucleotides) under Bacillus safensis. RNAcentral's name for it is "partial 16S ribosomal RNA". It matches the Rfam family "Bacterial small subunit ribosomal RNA", at positions 1210 to 1457 of the family's 1533-position model. The record is from RNAcentral. Lineage: Bacteria; Bacillati; Bacillota; Bacilli; Caryophanales; Bacillaceae.